AAGACGCUAGUAAAACGGUGCAUUACACAGCCUUGUCAAGGCAGAAUUGUGGGUUAAAGUCCUGCGUGUCUUA
Molecule: transfer RNA, 73 nt
Filed under: Mesocottus haitej (Amur sculpin)
Lineage: Eukaryota; Metazoa; Chordata; Actinopteri; Perciformes; Cottidae
Description: tRNA-Asp
Rfam family: tRNA
About the family: Transfer RNA (tRNA) molecules are approximately 80 nucleotides in length. Their secondary structure includes four short double-helical elements and three loops (D, anti-codon, and T loops).
Source: RNAcentral